This 429-nucleotide ribosomal RNA is filed under the name uncultured bacterium. Its description in RNAcentral is "bacterial SSU rRNA". It matches the Rfam family "Bacterial small subunit ribosomal RNA", at positions 28 to 437 of the family's 1533-position model. The record is from RNAcentral.
GACGAACGCUGGCGGCGUGCCUAAUACAUGCAAGUCGAACGGUCUUUUCUAUGGAAGCUUGCUUCCACUGGGAAGAUAGUGGCGAACGGGUGAGUAACACGUGGGUAACCUGCCCAUAAGAGGGGGAUAACAUCCGGAAACGGGUGCUAAUACCGCAUAGUUUUUCUGAUCGCAUGAUCGGGAAAGGGAAGACGGCCUUUGUGCUGUCGCUUAUGGAUGGACCCGCGGCGUAUUAGUUAGUUGGUGAGGUAAUGGCUCACCAAGACGAUGAUACGUAGCCGACCUGAGAGGGUGAUCGGCCACAUUGGGACUGAGACACGGCCCAAACUCCUACGGGAGGCAGCAGUAGGGAAUCUUCCGCAAUGGACGAAAGUCUGACGGAGCAACGCCGCGUGAGUGAAGAAGGUUUUCGGAUCGUAAAACUCUGUU